This 297-nucleotide long non-coding RNA is filed under the name Mytilus galloprovincialis (Mediterranean mussel). The record is from RNAcentral. Lineage: Eukaryota; Metazoa; Mollusca; Bivalvia; Mytilida; Mytilidae.
AUAGUACUAUGAUGUUAGAUGGUCUAUCUAAUGAAACAUGCUUGGUAUAAUUGGUUUUUAUUGUGUAGUAAGAUAGUACUAUGAUGUUAGAUUGUUAAUCUUAUGAAACAUGCUUGGUAUAAUUGGUUUUAUUGUCUAGUAAGAUAGUAUUGUGCUGUUAGAUUGUCUAUCUAUUGAAACAUGCUUGGUAUAAUUGGUUUUUAUGGUGUAGUAAGAUAGUACUAUGAUGUUAGAUGGUCUAUCUAUUGAAACAUGCUUGGUAUAAUUGGUUUUUAUUGUGUAGUAAAAUAGUACUAU